Acipenser ruthenus (sterlet) is the source of this 889-nucleotide long non-coding RNA. RefSeq lists it as uncharacterized. The transcript has 4 exons. The record is from RefSeq and is a predicted model, not a curated record. NCBI's taxonomy places the organism in Eukaryota, Metazoa, Chordata, Actinopteri, Acipenseriformes, Acipenseridae.
UUGAGACCAGCUUCAUCAGUUGCCGCCGGGCCUACACAUUCCGAAAUCAGUAACACGUCAAGUCUUGCAUCAUCUUAUUUCACGAGGUCAACGAUACGACCACCACAAAGAUUAACCCAACCAACCAAAAAAAGGCGACCAACUUUCAAAGGUCCUGCUACUUUUACAAAGGAGGUAGUAUUGCUGGGCGGACCUCACAACAAUGUAGUUGUAAAACACGGAACCAAGCAAUUACUCUAUGAAAGUGGGCAUGUGAUGAAUGCCUUUGAAUUCCACAAGGAGUGGUCGGCUGAAGAACUUCUAGAGAAUAUUAGAUCAGCUUUCAGCAGUCAUCUUCCUCCAGGAGCUAAUUUGGAAAUACUCAUGGCUUGCCACAAUAAACUGAUAGCUCCUUCUCUAAUGAGGAACCAAACACUCAAUGGUUGGAUGAUGAACAAAAUAUUUAAGCAACGCUCUGUCUAUAUUCGCCCCUCUGUUGAAAUCUUGGAUCUGCAAAGGCUGGACCAACAACCUGAAGACUGGGAUAAAACUAAUGUGCCAGAUAAUUCUCAGGAUCCUAACUGUAUUCGUGAAGAGACACUAGUUGCAGAUGAAAUACUUGGAUGUUCCUCUGAACCUGUGACAUCCAAUCCAGAUGGUCUGCAUAAUGCUGGAAUCGCAUUUCCAAACUAUCUAGGCUUGGACAGUAAUGAUCUUCAUGCAGUACAGGAUGUUUGUGUUUCUGCAGACUCUGUACUAACACAGACACCAGUGUCAUUUGGUGUAGAGGCAUCUAAAAUACACACUACACUGUUUCAGUCUACAUCUGCCAUGACUUUGGAAACUAAUGUUCUGGAGAAAAAAGGAUCAGAUUGUUACAAGUAAGAUAUUGCUUCAUUUUUCUCAGUUU